AGAACUGUGGCUCAAGGGCAGAGCAUCUGUUUAGCAUGCGGAAGGUCCCUGGUUCAAUCCCUGGCAUCUCUA
This 72-nucleotide transfer RNA is filed under the name Sphaerodactylus townsendi. Its description in RNAcentral is "tRNA-Ala". It matches the Rfam family "tRNA". From Rfam's summary of the family: Transfer RNA (tRNA) molecules are approximately 80 nucleotides in length. The record is from RNAcentral. Lineage: Eukaryota; Metazoa; Chordata; Lepidosauria; Squamata; Sphaerodactylidae.